UACGGGGGGGGGCAAGCGUUGUUCGGAAUUACUGGGCGUAAAGGGCUCGUAGGCGGCCAACUAAGUCAGACGUGAAAUCCCUCGGCUUAACCGGGGGAACUGCGUCUGAUACUGGAUGGCUAGAGAUUGGGAGAGGGAUGCGGAAUUCCAGGUGUAGCGGUGAAAUGCGUAGAUAUCUGGAGGAACACCGGUGGCGAAGGCGGCAUCCUGGACCAACACUGACGCUGAGGAGCGAAAGCCAGGGGAGCAAAGCGGG
Molecule: ribosomal RNA, 256 nt
Filed under: uncultured bacterium
Lineage: Bacteria
Description: partial 16S ribosomal RNA
Rfam family: Bacterial small subunit ribosomal RNA
Source: RNAcentral